RNAcentral lists this ribosomal RNA (502 nucleotides) under uncultured bacterium. Its description in RNAcentral is "partial 16S ribosomal RNA". It matches the Rfam family "Bacterial small subunit ribosomal RNA", at positions 28 to 523 of the family's 1533-position model. The record is from RNAcentral.
GACGAACGCUGGCGGCGUGCUUAACACAUGCAAGUCGAACGAUGAAGCCGGAGCUUGCUCUGGUGAAUUAGUGGCGAACGGGUGAGUAAUGCAUCGGAACGUACCGUGUAAUGGGGGAUAACGUAGCGAAAGUUACGCUAAUACCGCAUACGACCUGAGGGUGAAAGCAGGGGAUCGCAAGACCUUGCGUUAUACGAGCGGCCGAUGUCAGAUUAGCUAGUUGGUGAGGUAAAGGCUCACCAAGGCGACGAUCUGUAGCGGGUCUGAGAGGAUGAUCCGCCACACUGGGACUGAGACACGGCCCAGACUCCUACGGGAGGCAGCAGUGGGGAAUUUUGGACAAUGGGGGCAACCCUGAUCCAGCCAUGCCGCGUGAGUGAAGAAGGCCUUCGGGUUGUAAAGCUCUUUCGGCCGGGAAGAAAUCGCACAGGCUAAUACUCUGUGUGGAUGACGGUACCGGCAUAAGAAGCACCGGCUAACUACGUGCCAGCAGCCGCGGUAA